UGGGGAAUUUUACACAAUGGGGGAAACCCUGAUGUAGCAACGCCGCGUGGAGGAUGACGGAUUUAGGUCUGUAAACUCCCUUUAUAAGGGAAGAAAUUUGACGGUACCUUAUGAAUAAGCACCGGCUAACUCCGUGCCAGCAGCCGCGGUAAUACGGGGGGUGCAAGCGUUACUCGGAAUCACUGGGCGUAAAGGGAGCGUAGGCGUUUUGUUAAGUCUUGAGUGAAAGCUCGCAGCUCAACUGCGGAACUGCUCAGGAAACUGAUAGAAUUGAGUAUGGAAGAGGUAGGUGGAAUUUCCGGUGUAGGGGUAAAAUCCGUAGAUAUCGGAAGGAAUACCAGAAGCGAAGGCGACCUACUGGGACAUUACUGACGCUGAGGCUCGAAAGCGUGGGGAGCAAACA
RNAcentral lists this ribosomal RNA (403 nucleotides) under uncultured bacterium. Its description in RNAcentral is "bacterial SSU rRNA". It matches the Rfam family "Bacterial small subunit ribosomal RNA", at positions 355 to 774 of the family's 1533-position model. The record is from RNAcentral.